CUUGAUCGACCCCAGCCACAGCGGCCGGUCGGCCGCCCGCCCCUGCCCGUAGGCGGCCAGCAGCGCCUGCGCCUC
This is a non-coding RNA of Streptomyces bingchenggensis BCW-1, 75 nucleotides long. It matches the Rfam family "ASpks TB sRNA". The record is from Rfam. NCBI's taxonomy places the organism in Bacteria, Bacillati, Actinomycetota, Actinomycetes, Kitasatosporales, Streptomycetaceae.